UAGGGAAUCUUCGGCAAUGGGGGCAACCCUGACCGAGCAACGCCGCGUGAGUGAAGAAGGUUUUCGGAUCGUAAAGCUCUGUUGUAAGAGAAGAACGUGUGUGAGAGUGGAAAGUUCACACAGUGACGGUAACUUACCAGAAAGGGACGGCUAACUACGUGCCAGCAGCCGCGGUAAUACGUAGGUCCCGAGCGUUGUCCGGAUUUAUUGGGAGUAAAGCGAGCGCAGGCGGUUUAAUAAGUCUGAAGUUAAAGGCAGUGGCUUAACCAUUGUUCGCUUUGGAAACUGUGAAACUUUGGUGCAGACGGGGAGAGUGAAAUUCCAUGUGUAUCGGUGAAAUGCGUAGAUAUAUGGAGGAACACCGGUAGCGAAAGCGGCUCUCUGGUCUGUACCUGACGCUGAGGCUCGAAAGCGUGGGGAGCAAACAGG
RNAcentral lists this ribosomal RNA (429 nucleotides) under bacterium. Its description in RNAcentral is "partial 16S ribosomal RNA". It matches the Rfam family "Bacterial small subunit ribosomal RNA", at positions 355 to 776 of the family's 1533-position model. The record is from RNAcentral.